This 629-nucleotide ribosomal RNA is filed under the name uncultured Enterococcus sp. RNAcentral's name for it is "bacterial SSU rRNA". It matches the Rfam family "Bacterial small subunit ribosomal RNA", at positions 872 to 1502 of the family's 1533-position model. Lineage: Bacteria; Bacillati; Bacillota; Bacilli; Lactobacillales; Enterococcaceae. The record is from RNAcentral.
GCUGGGGAGUACGACCGCAAGGUUGAAACUCAAAGGAAUUGACGGGGGCCCGCACAAGCGGUGGAGCAUGUGGUUUAAUUCGAAGCAACGCGAAGAACCUUACCAGGUCUUGACAUCCUUUGACCACUCUAGAGAUAGAGCUUUCCCUUCGGGGACAAAGUGACAGGUGGUGCAUGGUUGUCGUCAGCUCGUGUCGUGAGAUGUUGGGUUAAGUCCCGCAACGAGCGCAACCCUUAUUGUUAGUUGCCAUCAUUUAGUUGGGCACUCUAGCGAGACUGCCGGUGACAAACCGGAGGAAGGUGGGGAUGACGUCAAAUCAUCAUGCCCCUUAUGACCUGGGCUACACACGUGCUACAAUGGGAAGUACAACGAGUCGCUAGGCCGCGAGGUCAUGCAAAUCUCUUAAAGCUUCUCUCAGUUCGGAUUGUAGGCUGCAACUCGCCUACAUGAAGCCGGAAUCGCUAGUAAUCGCGGAUCAGCACGCCGCGGUGAAUACGUUCCCGGGCCUUGUACACAUCGCCCGUCACACCACGAAAGUUUGUAACACCCGAAGUCGGUGAGGUAACCUUUUGGAGCCAGCCGCCUAAGGUGGGAUAGAUGAUUGGGGUGAAGUCGUAACAAGGUAACCA